RNAcentral lists this ribosomal RNA (389 nucleotides) under uncultured bacterium. RNAcentral describes it as "bacterial SSU rRNA". It matches the Rfam family "Bacterial small subunit ribosomal RNA", at positions 29 to 419 of the family's 1533-position model. The record is from RNAcentral.
AUUGAACGCUGGCGGAAUGCUUUACACAUGCAAGUCGAACGGCAGCACGGGGGCAACCCUGGUGGCGAGUGGCGAACGGGUGAGUAAAGCAUCGGAACGUGCCCUGGAGUGGGGGAUAACGUAGCGAAAGUUACGCUAAUACCGCAUAUUCUGUGAGCAGGAAAGCAGGGGAUCGCAAGACCUUGCGCUCUGGGAGCGGCCGAUGUCGGAUUAGCUAGUUGGUGGGGUAAAGGCCUACCAAGGCGAUGAUCCGUAGCGGGUCUGAGAGGAUGAUCCGCCACACUGGGACUGAGACACGGCCCAGACUCCUACGGGAGGCAGCAGUGGGGAAUUUUGGACAAUGGGCGAAAGCCUGAUCCAGCCAUGCCGCGUGAGUGAAGAAGGCCUGG